Molecule: long non-coding RNA, 22159 nt
Filed under: Lactuca sativa (garden lettuce)
Lineage: Eukaryota; Viridiplantae; Streptophyta; Magnoliopsida; Asterales; Asteraceae
Description: long non-coding RNA (LSAT_LNC007557)
Source: RNAcentral
UGAUCUCCUGAAGUACCUGAAACAAUAAACUGAAAACUGUAAGCCCGAGGCUUAGUGAGCUACCCCCAAAAUACCAAUACCACACUGACAAUACCAUAUCAGUAACAAUCAAUCAAUCAUCAAGCAUAUUGGGCCAUCGACCUGACUGGACCGCCCUACCGGGCCUAUAGUCCGUCUGAAUCUAUCCCGAGCCUUCGGCAUGACUGGUCCGCCACGUGGGCCUACAGUCUCCCCGAACCGCUCAUAGGGUAUAUUGGCCUUCAGCACAAAGCAGGACCGCCUCAACCCAACCACCAACAAAUAACCAUGUGCGCAUACUAUCACAUACAGGCAUAUACAAACAUCAAACAUAUAUGUCACACUGACAUCAAUUAUAGAAUUCUCCUGUAACUAGAGUACCGACCUAGCAGGUCACUAACAUACAAAUCCCUACAGAUCAUAAGAGCAUAACAUACUGUCUACCCCGAUUCCGAUCUAACAGAUCAUAACCACAUGUACCAUACCGUAACAAUAACAACUAAAGGGUCGGCCUUGGUGUUGUAGACUCUAUCGAUAUAGUGAGGAUAACUCACCUCACAGAUGUCGACUCAAAAGGCAAACUCCAACUCUCGGAUCACUUGAAACAGGCUCCACCAUUUAUCGUCAUAGUACAACAUACUCAUAAGUUCCUUAACCUUAUAAGGUACUCCAUAACCCACUAGUAAAUCCCUGGUCAAAGUCAAAGUCCUCAGUCAAGGUCAAUAGUCCAUGUUGACCUUAACUCGCCGAGUACCCUUGGCUACUCGCCGAGUUCCCUGAAGUACAUUCCAGCUCGCCGAGUCAUCGGAGUGACUCGUCGAGUUCCUUUAAUUCUCGAUCAAACUUAAAGGCCACCCAUCGAGUUCCCUCCUUGCAACUCGAUGGAUGCUCACUCGUACAUAUCCAAGAGAAAACUCAUCCGACUCGCCGAGUUGUUCUUCAACUCGUCGAGUUUAUGGCAAUCUUCAUCGGACUCGCCGAGUUGAUCAUCCAACUCGUUGAGUUCACGGCCGUCUUCAUGUGACUCGCCGAGUCACUUUGCGACCGCCGAGUCCAUUCAGUCCUUCUUUUCCAUACAUACAUAUUUUGAGCCAUGCAACGGCUCUAACUCAUAGAUCCAAGCUUCUGGGGCAUGCUUAUCACGUAAAGUUGCAAAAUUUACGUGCAUGCAUGGCUAUAAAGGCUCUAAAUGUUUAUUUUAAGUUCUUAAUGGAACUUCAUGCUUAAUAGGGAACUUAAUCCUUUGAUACCUCCAAAGGAUGCUAGCUGAGGUAAUUCCUGCUUCCCACUCCUUCCUUGCUUCAAUUUCCUUUGCACCCUUAGCUUUCUUCCUCCAAGAUUCUCUUCUCCCACUUCAAACACNUUCAAACACCACACCAAGGCACACACACACACGAAUUAGGGUUUUAAGGGGCUCUCAAAUAAUGUAAAGAGGCCAAAGGAGGCUAAGGCUCCUUUAAAUAGAGGUGUAAACCCCAGGAUUUAGGGUUUCCACUGCCAGAUCCUACUCGUCGAGUCCCAACAUGGACUCGUCGAGUAGGUCACUUAAAACGCGAUCUCAUCCAGCUGCUACUCGACAAGUAGGUCAACCAACUCAUCGAGUAGAGCUUAACCCAAUAAUUCUUAUUUAAGCAAUACCUAAGCAUCGGGGCGUUACAACUCUCCCCCACUUGAACUAGACUUCGUCCUCGAUGUCUGCUGGAAUAAAUAACGUCGGGUAAUGCUCGCGCAUCUCCGCCUCCGACUCCCAUGUCCACUCGGAUCCCUUCUGAUGUUCCCACUGUACCUUUACUAAAGGUAUUUCCUUGUUCCGUAGAAUCUUCUUCUUCCUUUCCAAAAUAGCCACAAGCCUCUCCACAUAGUUCAAGCGCUCAUCGACCUGAAUGUCAUUCAACGAUACCAUUACCUCCUGGUCCAUAAUGCAUUUUCGCAAUUGCAAAACAUGAAAUGUGUUGUGGAUCCGGCUAAGCUGCUCCGGAAGCUCUAGCCUAUAAGCCACCCUGCCAACCCUGGCAACAAUCCUGAACGGUCCAAUGUAACAAGGACCCAAUUUUCCCCUCUUCCUGAAGCGGAUCACACCCUUCCAGGGUGAGACCUUCAGAAGAACCAUGUCACCCACCUGAAAUUCCAACUCAGAUCGGCGUCGGUUGGCAUAACUUUUCUCUCAGUUCUGAGCGGUCUGCAGUCGCUGUCUAAUCUGCUGUAUCAUCUCGGUAGUUUGCAGAACUACCUCAGUCCGACCCAUCACCCUGUACCCAACCUCCCCCCAACAGACUGGGGUCCUGCACCUCCGCACAUACAACAACUCGAAAGGCGGGGCGCCGAUACUGGAAUGAUAGCUAUUGUUGUAGGCGAAUUCUGCAAGCGGUAGGUAGGAAUCCCAACUCCCACCAAAAUCAAUGACACACACCCUCAACAUAUCCUCGAGGGUCUGAAUGGUCUGAUCACUCUGCCCAUCAGUCUGCGGAUGGAAUGUUGUACUAAAAUGCAGUCGUGUACCCAGUUCCUCAUGGAACUUCUGCCAAAAACAGGAAGUAAACCUGACAUCUCGAUCGGAAACGAUAGAAACCGAAACCCCAUGACGAGAGACGAUCUUUCUGACGUACAGGUCAGCCAACUUCUCUACCGACGAACUCUCCCAUAUGGCUAGGAAAUGGGCACUCUUGGUCAAUCGAUCCACGAUGACCAAUAUAGAAUCGAACCCCCUUGCCGUCUUCAGCAACUUCGUGAUGAAAUCCAUCGCGAUCCGUUCCCAUUUCCACAUGGGAAUCUCCAGAGGCUCCAACUUACCAUGCAGCCUCUGAUGCUUGGCCUUGACCAUCCUACAGGUCAAGCACCUCUCAACAAACCAAGCGAUAUCUCACUUCAUGCCAAGCCACUAAUAACUCGAACUCAAAUCACGUUACAUCUUGGUGGCUCCCGGGUGAAUCGAAAAACGAGACUUAUGAGCCUCCUCCAUCACUGUCUGCCGGACCCCUCCAGACAUCGGAACCCAAACCCGACCGUAACGGGUCAACAAUCCGCGGCUAUCCUGAACAAACCGGGCGCUUUCACCCUUAAUCCUCUCCAACUUCCAGUUCUCUGGUCUCAUGCCCUUAAUCUGAGCAUCCCUGAUCAAACCCACCAGUGGGGAAUCCACCGCUCUCCUCAUACACCUGGCUGGGGUCGAGGACCCAGCUGACUUACCGCUUAGAGCAUCCGCAACCACAUUCGCUUUACCAGGAUGGUAAAGGAUCUCGCAAUCAUAGUCCUUGACCACAUCCAGCCACCUGCGCUGCCUCAUGUUCAGGUUCGGCUGAUCCAUGAUGUGUCUCAAACUCUUGUGAUCCGUGUAUAUAGUGCAACGGACCCCGUACAGAUAGUGCCUCCAAAUCUUGAGAGCGAAAACCACUGCUCCCAACUCAAGAUCGUGCGUGGGGUACCUCGUCUCAUGCGGCUUCAGUUGUCGUGAUGCAUAGGCUACCACCCGUCCUCUCUGCAUGAGGACUGCUCCCAAGACAGUGAUGGAUGCAUCGCAAAAUACCACAAAAUCCUCCACUCCCUUGGGGAGUGUCAACACCGGUGCCUCGCAUAAACACUGUCGGAGGGUCUCAAACGCCCUCUGCUGUUCAGGGCCCCACCGGAAAUCCACCCCCUUCCUCGUUAGACGAGUGAGGGGUACAGAAAUCUUGGAGAUAUCACGAAUGAAUCUCUGAUAAUACCCUACUAAACCUAAGAAACUCCUGAUGUCAGAGGGAGAUUUCGGGGUCUCCCACUGCAUAACCGCCUCCACCUUGGCUGGAUCGACCAGAAUCCCCUCCUGGUUAACGAGGUGUCCGAGGAACUGGACCUCCCGUAACCAAAAAUCGCAUUUCAAGAACUUGGCAUAUAACCGUUCUCGCCUCAGAACUUCCAGCAGCUCCUUGAGAUGCUCCUCAUGCUGCCCUUGAGUCUUGGAGUACACCAAGAUAUCAUCUAUAAACACAAUUACUGAGCGAUCAAGCAUCGGUCUGUAUACCCGGUUCAUCAGAUCCAUGAGCACUGAUGGCGCAUUUGUGAGUCCAAACGACAUCACGACGAACUCAUAAUGACCAUAACGAGUCCCGAACGCGGUCUUCUCCACGUAUUCCUCCCUCACCCUGACCUGGUGAUAUCCUGAUCUCAAAUCAAUCUUGGAAAACCAAGAUGCACCCUGCAGCUGAUAAAAAGAUCGNAAGCGGAUAACGGUUCUUCACCGUUAACUUGUUCAGCUCCCUAUAGUCAAUGCACAUCCUGUGCGAACCGUCCUUCUUCCUGACGAAAAGGAUCGGUGCUCCCCAGGGUGAACUACUCGGACGAAUAAACUGCAUACCCAGCAGUUCCUGCAAUUGGGAUGACAACUCCUGCAUCUCUGGCAAUGCCAGUCGGUACGACGCCUUAGAGAUAGGGGUCGCACCUAGCACUAGGUCAAUCCUGAACUCAACCUGCCUCUCCGGAGGCACUUUGGGUAACUCCUCCAGAAACACAUCAGCAAACUACCUCACCACCGGGACCUCAGAAACUGAGAGUUGCUCUCUAAUCCGCGUAUCUACAACAUAAGCCAAAUAACCGACACACCCGUGCUGAAUAUACUGCCGAGCCCUGGCUGCCUAACAAAACCCUGAUCCCAACCUGGUGCCCUCACCAUAUACUAUAAGUUCUCCCCCACUUUGGGUUCGAACCACCACCCGCUGCCCCUCACAGUCAAUCAUGGCGCCAAAACGGCUAAGCCAAUCCAUCUCUAUAAUCACGCAUACAUCCCUCAUGGGAAUAGGGAUCAAAUCUAUCGGGAAGGACACCCCUAAAAUCUCCAACUCGCAUCCCCGGAAGAUCGAAGAAGCAGAGACCCCAUGCUCGUUGGCGAUCGAGACUCGCAACGGACACUCAAGAUCAUCUAUCGGCACACUGAACCCUCUAGAGAAGGUUUAAGAUACAAACGAUCGACUCGCCCCUGAGUCAAAUAAUACCAAAGCGGGCAAAGAGUCACUAAAAACGUACCUAAUCACAGGUAUAAUCAAUAAGCAUAACACGAAUACAAUAACUAAGACAGAGAAUAGAAAACGUACCAGCAACCACAUCCGGUGCUGACUUGGCCUCCUCGGCCGUGAGCUAGAAGGCGCGACCCUGAGCCUUCGGAGUCUCCACCUUGACUGGCCUCCCAUCUCCAAUCCUNGCAGCUGGCGCGGAACCCUGCGCCGGCUUGGCGGCGAGCUGCGGACAGUUGGUCUUCACAUGACCAACCUGAUAACAAUGGUAACAAAUCCUCAUAUCUGCUGGAGGGGCGGAUUGAGGGCAUUCCCUAGCAUAGUGCCCCUUCUUGCCACAUUUGUGGCACCCACCUCCUGCUCGACAAACCCCCGAAUGAGCCUUGCCACACUAUCCACAAGUGCGGCUCUGAUGACCCCUGGAUCGUGUAUCAGCGGUCUUACACCGCUUAGGCGCCGGCUGAGACUGUACCAGUGCCUGAUGCUGCUCCUUCAGCUGCAGCUCUAUCUCUAACUCACGCCGCCGCGCGGCUUCCUGAAGGUCCAGGAGGGUAUCACAUCGCUAUGUAGACACAAACUGUCGAAUAUCAGUCUUGAGCAUACUCAUAUAACGAGUCAUCUGAGACUGCUCUGAAGCAAACUCCGGGCAAAACAUACCCCUCUCCGUGAACAUACGGGUAAUCUCCAUCACAGACUCCCCAUCCUGUCUCAAUGUCUAAAACUCUUGUGCAAGCCGCUCCCGCUCAAUGCAUGGAACGUAGCGGGUGUGGAACAUAUCUCUGAACUGCUCCUAAGUAACAGCAGCCCGCUGAUCAUCAGUAUACGUUCCAGUCAUCAGCCUCCACCAGUCCUUUGCCCCAAGCCUCAGCAGGUUCAGGGCACACCUAACCUUUUGGUCAGCAGGACAUGAGCCCGUGAAGAAACAGUCCUCCACGUCAAAUAACCACCUCAUAGCCCUAAUUGCAUCCUGUGUACCAUCAAACGUCGGGGGGUUUCGUAUUAUCGAAGUCCCGAUACUGGAAAGCCCUGUCGGCUCCUCCUCCAACCUCUGNUUACAGCCGAAGUGGCUGCAGCGGCAGCUGUCUCUGCUAGAGCUGCAUAUCGCUCAUCAAAAUACUCAACCAUCGUGGUCUUAGUCGACCCAAACAUCUCUGGCAGCUGCGCUCGGAACGCAGCAGCAAUCUCGUCAUGCAUGAUCUCCCUGAUCCUGGCAUCCAACUCCUCAGUCCCUAUCUGAACCACGGCCUCAUGUGCUACCGGCACCUCCAACCCUCCGUCUCCUGACCCCGAUCCUGAUCCUGAUCCCGAAGCAACACGUCUCGUCACCACCAUACUGGAAUAUAUACAAGUCAUCAGAUAAAUAACAUAAUGUCGGGAGACCAAAGCCCCCAAAACUCUAGAGGUUGUGAUUUCCUUGCUACGCAUAUGGGUCCUGUGCUUUCAGUAGUACGGGCCCAUACUACCUUCCACACCUACCCAUAUUUGUCUCAAGUAUCACCACAACGCCCUAAAAAUAUCAUUAACAUAGAAAUGCGCCCAACCCUCACUUCUAGGGGAACACCAAAUAUCUCGCAUCUAGUCUCACCACUUAUCUCGACUCACACAUCCAUGAAACUUCCAUCAUCCCCUGCAGCGCUGGUGCGUGCUAGCUGCACAUAACGCUGGACCCAAUAGACUUUCGAAUAUCCAAUCCUACCCGAAGGCCGGAUCAACAUUCUCAAGCUAUAAGGUCUUUAUUAUGCACAGCCGUGAUGCAUACACUAAACAUCUACAAUUAUGAUAUCAAUUCCACAUACAAGAAAUCCUAGUUUAAUAGGCAUCAUGCAAUCAGGCAAAUCUAUCAUGUGAUUCCUGAAGAUCCCUAGCCUAGCACUAGCAUGUCGUUCUAACAUAUCAGAAUAUCAAAUAACUGCAUGGUAUUUUAGGGUUUACUUACAGGCUCCGACUGAUCGUACCCUCUGCAUCCUCCAUCCUUUAUUUUGAAAACCAUUUUAAAACUUAUUUUCCGAAAAUCUCCUUGAUUUAAGACUGGAUUCACAUGAGUGUUCCUCCAAUUUACUCAAACCAAGGCUCUGAUACCAACUUGUAACAUCCAUAAAUUUAACGCCAAAUUUAAACUUUUUCAAUCAUAAAUAAAAACCAAAUAGUAUUGUUUACAAAAUGUUUUCAAAUCAUUUUCCAUCAGAGUGUCCCAAAAACCAUAACAUAAGGAUGAGGAGCGGUACGGUCACGCCUUCGCCUUUCCAUGAUCUCCUGAAGUAUCUGAAACAAUAAACUGAAAACUGUAAGCUCGAGGCUUAGUGAGCUACCCCCAAAAUACCAAUACCACAUUGACAAUACCAUAUCAGUAACAAUCAAUCAAUCAUCAUGCAUAUUGGGUCAUCGGCCUGACUGGACCGCCCUACCGGGCCUACAGUCCGUUUGAAAAAAGAGAAUAUUUAUCAUAUCCAUUUGAGAAAAUUUUAUUUUCUUAUCAUUUGUCAAAGGAACGAAUUAUUCAAAUUUAUAUUAUGAAGUGUACUCAAUUGUACAAUACUUUGUAUUUUCAUAAAUAUAUUAUAAUGGAACAUUUUAGUUGUUACAUGCUUGUUUUCAUCUUAUUUCUUCUUCAUUUUCAUGUCUGAUAUAAUUCAAUCAAUUUUCGCAUUAUUGUCAUUUUUAUUGUUUCUAUGGAAAUCCAAACUAAGAACUUUUGACAAAAUAAUUUUUUACACAAAUCAAUUGGAUUUUUUAAACCAUAAUUUUUCAAUUGGCAUUUUGGUAAUUUGACUAUAACACCAAAUAGUCUUUUAUCAAUAGGGUUUGACCUAGGUUACAUUGGAGGUGAUGGUACAUUUUAUUAAUUGUUUGGAAUACCAAGCUGCAAUAUUUAUGGAUAACAGACGAAAUCAUGCAUGUUUUUGGGAAGGGAGAACCAUAUAUAUUCUCUCGUGAAAUUUUUAGUGUUUUUUUUAUGCCUCUCAUUAGUUCCAUGCAGAGAGAAAAGACUUGAAGCUGGAGGCUGGGAUGUAAAAAUAUUCAAACUUGAUGGUAAAAAUCGAAACAAAAACUUUUUGGAUGAGUUUUGGACUGGGGAAAUAGUUAUGGGACUGGGUAUGGGAUUUUUUUCUAAAAGUUUUCAUGGGUUUAGGAUGAUUAUGAUAUUACAGUUAUACCCGUCCAAUUAUGGUAACUCGAAUUACCCAUCCUCGAACCAUUAUAUUCUUAUAAUACUUAAUUACUUUUAUUGUUAUUAUGUAUGAUUUCAAAGUUGUAUUAUAAUAUAAUAUGUGAUACUAGAAAGUUUGUUAUGUAAUUAGAAAUUGUUAGAUUUCUUUAAUAUUUAUGUUAUGAUCUUUAUUAGUUUAUAAUGAAAUUCGGAUAUUAAUAAAUUUUGUUUGGUGAUGAUUAUAUUUAUAUAGUAUUUGUUAAAUAUUAAACUUGUGGAUGUUUUGCAAAUUAAAGUUGUGGAUGUUGUUGCAAACUGAAAUUAAAAUAUUCAUGUCAAUGUAAUGGAUGAGAUUGUGAUUGAGUUUUAAGUAAUAAAAUUUCCAACGGAUUAAUUUUAACAUAUUAAGAUGAUAAUUGGGACACCCUGAUUCCCUGAAGGAUGUGAAAGGAUGUCUGUCCGAUACAAUUUUUUAACCUGGUGUAUAUAUGGUGGUGUAAUCAAAAAAAGUUUAAUUUUGCUAAAAAUAAAGUAUUUUAGACAACGAUUUCUUUGUGGUUUUGGUCAUAUAAAAUAGCUAACUUUUUUAUUUUAUAUCCUCUUUACAGUUUUUCUUUUAUUUAAUUUAAUUUUGACAAAAUUAAAAAAUGGUCCAUAUAGGUUCUAAAAGGUUAUGUUUAAGCAAUUUUACCCUAAUGAUCCUUUUUUACUUUAAAAUCUUGUAUAGCCACUUUUAUAAAUUAACCGUUAAUUAUAUGUUAAAAAACAUUUCUACGCACCCGACCGCAUGCACUUUUUUUUUUUUUCUUUUUCUUAUGUUACCCUUUUGCUAAAGCCAUAUUUUCUUCCCCCUUAGUCCUUUCCCACCUCCCACAACUCCGAAAUGGUUUGAUUUCUUUUUUGAAUUAGCUCAAUUCGUAUAUUUUCAAUUUUUAUAAUAUAAACGUAAAACUAUAUGUCUCUUCUUGUUUGCAAAGUAAAAAAAAAUAACCAGAAAAGUACAAAAUAAAAAAACAAAAUAAACCGAUUCAAUUCUGAUUCCAAACCAAACGAAUAAAAACUUCAUUCAAAUUCUCAAAAAAGCUACAAAAAUCAUAUAUUUAGAAAGAAAUUCAUCUAUGCAACAAUCUUGAAGUGCAAAAAUGGAUAUGCUAAGAGUAAUAUACAAUAGCAUGAGGUUAUAGACAGAAAGUCUCAACAAAAAGUCAAAGUAACGAAUGUUACAAUACCGCAAGUCAAAACUAGAAGCCUCCACCAUCGACCGUUCUACCAAAUUCUCGAAACCCUAAAGCUUCAUUAGUGUAAUAAGCCGCUAGACAUGAGAUUGAAGAAUCGCCUCUAAGAGACACUAACAAAAUCUAAUAAAAGAAUUACACAAUUUUUGUUUAAAGAAUAAGACUAAUGUAAGGGGUUGAGGAGGUGAAAGAAAUGCUUUUUGGGUUUGUUUGAUGAAUUGCAAUCUUGAAUGCUUCAAAGAACUCCAUUAUAAACUCAAACCCCACCUCCAUUAGUUUCAUCCAUAUUGCCAUUUUCCCAGCCAUCUCUUUGUUUUUGUUUGUAUAUGUGUUGUAUAAACAUGCAUCUAUGUGUGUGUAUAUAUAGUGUUUGUAUAAAUGAAGAAAUUGAAAGGAACGAAGUAGGUUUUAUAUGCCUAUUGGAACCUUGAAGGGGCAUACAAAAUAAACUAAUAACUCAACUAUUGAUAUUGAAUAUGUGGUGCAGAAUAUGCAUGGAAUAUGUACGGGAAAACAAAAUUGACCCUAGCUAACACUUUAUCAAUAUACUAUGCAUGCCUUAUCCUCUCAUAAUUUUAUUUAAAACAUAUAUUUCAAAACCACUAGACUUAAUGCGUAAAAGUACCAUUAUUUAUUGUUAUGGGAAAGCAACAAUGUAUCCAUAGGUAUUAGUUUAUUUCACACAUUAAUAUAAAAUGAAACGAGAAUCAAUUAAACAAAAUAUAAUCUGAUAUGAACGUUAAUACAUAUAAAAACUUCACCCAUGCAUCUAUACGAUCUGGUUUGGCUUAAUCAAACGAUUCUACCUUUGUAGACUAGCUAGGACCAAAUCACCGAGUGAUAUCCGUGAUUUAUACAUAAUCCAUGAGGGAUCGAUCAACCCUACCAAUUCUGGUUAUUAUAAAUAAUAAAAGGUCACGUAUAGGUAAGAAAAACAUGUUUAACUGGAGUUGUAAGUACACAUGUGGUUGUUAAUUAAGACUAAAAAAAAACGAUUUUAAGCAACUAGGACAAAUUUUGAAGAAAGAUGUAGUAUAAAGGAUCUUAGUAUCCCGAUUAGAAACAUAAGAUCAUGCGAUCUAUCUCUUUAAAUUAGUCUGUAUCCUAUAGUUAAGUCUCCAAUAUUUAUAAAUCUUUGGAAAUUUGUUACUUUUGCUCAAAAAUCACAUGCAGUGAUUCACCCAUUUAACUCGAUUAAUCAGAAUCAAGAAUUGUUUAUCGCAGAAAACCUCCUAAAAUUUACGAAUUCAAUUAUUCAUCUCUAAUUUAAAAGAAUAUAUAUCAUAGACAUAGACACAAGUUAGUACCUUUUGGUAUUUGUGAUUUUUGAAUACUGAUGUGCUCAAAUAAUGGCAUUUGUUUAUUAAAAUGGCAAUGAGCCUACAAUGGAAUAUCCUUUAGUAAAGUGGCUACUCUUGCACUUUCAACUGUAGCGUACAUUGUUUUAUCAUGUUAAAAGUAAUUAUUAGUGUUGAUUGAAAAUGACAAAUAAUUUAUUUUAAGUUACAAAAGUUAUGCAUAAAGCAAGUUGGUUGAUGUUUAUCUAGAUUAGGAGAUAAAUAUAAAGAAAAAAUCUUUUAAGUUUGAUCUAAUGCCAUUAUAUAUAUAUAUAUAUAUAUAUAUANNNNNNNNNNNNNNNNNNNNNNNNNNNNNNNNNNNNNNNNNNNNNNNNNNNNNNNNNNNNNNNNNNNNNNAGCUGUUUACUCGUGCCAAACAACGCGUGAUAAUAGGUUUUUAAGAAAUUAGUUUUUAGAGGUGAUUAGUUUUUUUGUGUAAUAGUACCAAACAUACAAAAAAACCACAUAUUAGCCAAAACAUAUGUAUUUACAAAACAUAAACAACAACACUAACACUGUAACACCGUAUAAAUAAUAUGUAUUUACAAAAUUAGUUUUUUAAUAUUUUUAAGUUAGGUUUUACCCACAUAUGGUGUUGUUUUGAAAUAUCAGAGGAGGUGGUUAGAUGUGGUCAAGGAUUAUGAUUGUGAGAUCUUGUACCACNAAGGCCAACGUGGUGGCCGAUGCGUUGAGCCGCAGGGCGGAGAGCACUCCAUUGCGAGAUGUAUGUUUGAGAUUGACCAUGAUAGCUCCGGUAUUGGAUGCCAUUCGUGGGGCACAGGCCGAGGCUGUGCAGCCGAAGAUGCAGAAGAGGGAACGGGUCGUUGGUUUGGUUUCAGAGUUCAUUACGGAUGGACGAGGGCUUAUGACUUUUCAGGGUCGGAUUUGGGUACCGUUUGUGGGUGGUACGCGCACUUCUUUGAUGGAGGAGGCUCAUCGUUCGAAAUUUUCGAUCCAUCCGGGGGCUACAAAGAUGUAUUUGGAUUUGAGGAAAGAGUAUUGGUGGCCCUGUAUGAAGAGGGACGUCGCAUGGUUCGUUGAGAGGUGCUUGACCUGCCGUAGGGUUAAGGCCGAGCACCAGAGACCGCAUGGCAAGUUGCAGCCAUUGGAGGUUCCCGAGUGGAAGUGGGAACAUAUCACUAUGGAUUUCAUCACCAAAUUGCAGAGGACUGCCAGAGGAGUUGAUGCAAUUUGGGUGAUUGUGGAUAGGUUAACGAAGAGUGCUCAUUUCCUUGCCAUCAGUGAGAGUUCUUCAGCGGAGAAGUUGGCGGAAUUAUAUGUGAGAGAAGUGGUAUCUCGGCAUGGGGUGCCGAUCUCGAUUGUUUCGGACCGUGAUGUGCGUUUCACUUCCAGAUUCUGGAAGAAAUUUCAUGAGGAGUUGGGUACUAGAUUGCAUUUUAGUACCGCAUAUCAUCCCCAGACAGACGGUCAGAGUGAGCGGACGAUUCAGACGCUUGAGGACAUGCUUCGAGCAUGUGUGUUGGAUUUCGGGGGUAGCUGGGAUGCGUAUUUACCCUUGGCAGAGUUUUCCUACAACAACAGCCAUCAUUCGAGCAUUGGUAUGCCACCCUUUGAGCUGUUGUAUGGUAGGAGGUGUCGGACCCCCAUUUGCUGGGGAGAGGUUGGGCAGAGAGUGAUGGGCAGUACAGAGAUCGUGCUUCAGACGACAGAGCAGAUUCAGCAGGUCAGACAGAGGUUAUUGACCGCCCAGAGCCGACAGAAGAGUUAUGCAGACAGACGCCGGUCCGAGCUUGAGUUUCAGGUCGGCGACUUCGUUCUCCUGAAGGUCUCUCCUUGGAAAGGAGUGAUUCGAUUCAGGAAGAGGGGCAAGUUGGGGCCCCGGUAUAUUGGGCCAUUUCGUGUGAUUGCGAGGGUAGGCCGGGUAGCCUAUCGUUUGGAGUUGCCAGCAGAGUUGGGGCAGAUCCACGACACUUUUCAUGUGUCGCAAUUGAGGAAGUGUAUAGCCGAUGAGUCGGCAGUGGUUCCAUUAGAGGAUAUUCAGGUGGAUGCGAGCCUGAAUUAUGCCGAGAGACCAGUGGCCAUCAGAGAUCGGAAAAUCAAGGUUCUGAGGAACAAGGAGGUACCCCUGGUGUUGGUUCAGUGGCAACACCGGAAGGGAUCAGAGAUGACCUGGGAGCCGGAGCGCGAGAUGCGGGCUCAGCAUCCGGAGCUAUUUUAGAGCGAGACUUCGAGGGCGAAGUCUAAUCCUAGUGGGGGAGAAUUGUAACAGCCCGGAUCUCCAGGUAUUUUAUUGUUUUAAUAUUUUGAGUUUUGAGAAGGGACUCGGCGAGUUGGAGCUCAGACUCGCCGAGUAGGGUCGCGAUUCUGGACGCGGGAUUCGUUCGGACUCGGCGAGUCCAGGAUAUGGACUCGGCGAGUCCACGCUGUUUAAUGAAACCCUAAUUUCUCGGGUUUGGGACCUAUUUAAAGGGCCUUAUGGCCGUCAUUUGUGCUCACCAGUCCCUUGAGUGAAACCCUAAUCGAGUGUGAGCGUUUGGAGCAUAGAAGGAGGCUAUUAUUGAUCUUGGAGGUGUCAUUUUGCAAGGAAAGAGGAAAUCAGCCAAGGGGAAAGCAAGAGGAGCCAUCUUCUGAGGAUUUGGAGUCCAGAGCAUCUCUAUUGGGGUAAUAUUUCGAGCUAUUCUCUUCUAUGUUGGUGUUUUCAUUGAUUUAGGGUUUAUUGAACCCUUUUGUGGCUAGAUCUUGUGCUCCCUUGGACCCCUAAGAGAUUUAGACUAUAGAUCUGGACCCCUAAAGGUCCAGAGUGUCCCUUUGCCCAAGCUUUUUGGGAAUCAAUGGAAGUUUUGGGUUGGAACCCUUAUGCUUUAGAUCAAAAUGUUCAUUAUAAGCCAUGGGGUGUGUUAUGGACACCAAGAUAGGGACUUUACGUGGUGAAUCAGUCUUGAAAGGCUAGAUCUAUGAAUUGAUGGAACAGAUCUGACCUUAGAAGCGAGUUUGAGUAAUUGCAUGGCAUGGACUCGCCGAGUCCGAUGAGCAGACUCGGCGAGUAGCUUGAAGAUUGCCUUGGAUCGGCCAGUGAGUGAUCCAGUCGAGUCACGGGUUGACUCAGUGAGUCAGGACGAGUUAGAGAGGGUCGACAGGUGGUCUGAGUCGAGUUGGGACUCGCCGAGUCGUUCUUGAGACUCGGCGAGUUGAGUCGGGGUGGUCCCGCGAUUCUUCCAGGUGGAACUCGUCGAGUCAGGGGGAGUACUCGACGUGUAGAAAGGGAAUCCUAGAGAGUUGGUGAGAACGUCUAGACUCGCCGAGUUGCCGUGUGCACUCGCCGAGUCCGGUCAAAGUUGACCGUUGACCGUUGACCUGUGUUGACUUCUUAGGGAUAGUCAACCUUAGAGAUAUAAAGUGUUAAUUAGAGUCAUGUGAUGUUAUAGGAGGAUUAGAGCUCGGAGGAUCGAGCACGAGGGAUUUCCAGGAUUCGUGAGAUACCGAGAUACGCGAGGUGAGUCUUCUCACUAUACUUUACCUUGAGUAGGUAAUCAGAUCUAUGUGUUAGUGUAUGUAUGUUAUGUGUAUGCUAUGUGUUGUGCUGCAUUAUUUCUAUGUGAUUUAUGUUGUGCAUGUUACAGAGUUGGAACCGGAAGGUUCCUAGAGUUAGAACCUGAAGGUUCACAGAGCUUGGGUGCACGGACCCAUAGAGUUAUAGCCUCGAGUGGCUAAUAUGUGUUUAUGUGUGGUAUUUUGGGGAACUCACUAAGCUUCGUGCUCACAGUGUUAGUGUUGUUGUUUCAGGUACUAGCGAGGACCGUGGGAAGGCGCCAACUUGAUCUGUACACACGCAGGGGACUUUUGAUAUUUUUGUGUGAUCUUGGGAUUUGUAUGAUGCAGAUUGGAAUUUUAAACUUAAUAUUUUUAUGAUAAAAAUACAUAUAUAUAAGAACCUUCACAAAAAAACAUAUUAUUUAUACCAUAUGUGGGUAAAACCUAACUUAAUAAUUUUAAUAUUUUUUGUGAUCUUGGUGAUAUGAUGUUUUUAGAGGUGAUCUGUACACACGCAGAGGGACUGUUGGUAUUAGUUUUUACGUUGUUGACGGAAUACAUAUGUUCAAAACAUGUAAGACCACUAAUAUGUGAUAAAAGUUUGUGAAGGUAGUAUCGCUCUUCUUCAACGAGAUUAGAAUAAACCAAACGACCUUGCAUUAAUCAUUGUUUUCAAGUAUUCAAAAUGACUUGAGCUCAGAUUAUACGUAGCUUUUUUUGGAAAAUAUGUGUAUCUAUAUUGUCUCGCAGAUAUCUUCUUUAUUUUUAAGGGAAAAAAAACAAUCAAAUUAUUUAUUUUUAUAAAAAAAAAUUAUGCAAAAUAAGCAUACUAAUUAUGUUGUUUGUUUUUCAUCAAUAAAAUGCUUAAAAUUUGGAAAGCCAAUGGAUGUAGAUUUAUAGUUAUUGCAGUUAGCACCUUANNNNUAUGUUAAAUAUAAUAAUAAUAAUAAUAAUAAUAAUAAUAAUAAUAAUAAUAAUAAUGUAUUUUUUUAAUCUCAUACCUCAAAUAUAAUUCUUAAUAGUUUAUACUUUAUGCAUUUGAGAAAACCAUGAUGUUUUAUUUUUUUUUAUAUGUAGGUAGUGAUAAAUGGUGAUUUACAUCUCUACUUUUUUUUUAACUUAAAAAAACCCGUCUUUAUUUAAUUUCAACCAAAAUGAUUAUAAAAAAUUAAAUAUCGAAUUUUCAUAUCCAGCCUAAGUAAUUAUAAAAAAUUGUAAAUUGGUUUUGUAUUGCUGCUACUAAACAUUAAAAAAAAAUUUAUAUCAAUUUAACUUUUUAUUAAAUAAUUCUAAUCUUUUUUCUUCAUUUAGAGACACAAUGAAUUUGUUCUAAAACAAAUAAAAAACAUUUUUUGACUUUGCUUAUUACAUCAUCGUGUGUGUAUGAUUACACUUAUAUAAUUUACUACUAUUGCAUUUUUGUUCCUAGUGUUGAUAUAUAUUCACUCUUAUUAUAUAUAGCUCUAAUAACAAAAAAAAAAAUCGAAAUCUUGGAUUAGAUUUGAUAUAUCUAAGUUAAAAAGUUUUCAAAUAAGAUAGAUACGUUGUCAUAUGAGAGUGUAUAGUUUUUGUAGUAUUAGAAUCAAUUAUUAUUCCUUUCAUAUAUCAUCAAUGAGUCGUAGCUUAUUCAGGAUUCGAAUGAAUAUUGUCCCAAAGAAUAACCACUUAUUACUCCAUAGUUUGACUCAAUUCCUUCCACAUAUUAUGAUGAUCACUCCUAAAACGGGAACCACUUAUCCAUCCAAGGGUGUUAUGGAUGCAAUUACUUGCAUUGCAGUAAAUUAGAGGUUGGUGUUGUGCUGGAAUUUUGAAAUAUUCCUACCUUCUUCAUUUUGCACUUGAAAGUUUGACAAAUCUCCAUCAUCAACAAACCUUUAUAUCUAUAACAUCCCAAAUUUCAAAAGUCGAGUUAAGGGCUAAAAGUGUAAAUUGAAGAAGGGACUCGACGAGUAGGUAUACUUACUCGUCGAGUCGGAGCGGGUUUGGGUCACGAAUUAAGUGACCAACUCGCCGAGUCGGAAGCUGGACUCGAAGAGUUGGUGCUGGAAUGAGAAAAACCUUAAUCUUCGGGGUUGCACCCUAUUUAAAGGACUCAAUGUCCUCCCCUCGGCUCCCUUAGCCCCCUUUGAGAUCCAGUAAACCUUAGCUCAUGUGUAUAAGGCUAUUGGAGGGAGAUUGAAGCUUUGAGAGGUGUUCAAGUGGAAGAAACUUGAAGAUCAAAAGAGUUUGCAUCAAGAAAGUAGUGUAGAUCUGGGAUCUACUGCAGUUUUGGGCACAUCGUGGAGGUAAUGAGCCGUUACCUUUCCUUUGUUGCUUCUAGACCUAUUCUUGAAUGAGAUUUGGGGCCAUUUUGGUAUGAUUGAGAUCCAUUUCGGGUUUGGAGUUCAGAUCUGAGGUUGCUACUCCAGAUCUACACUUAUGAUGGCCUAAAAUGUCAUAAAGUAUUAGUCUUUGGUGUGUUGGUGAAGCAUGUUUGCCCCAAACCCUAGCCCUAGAGUGUUUUAAGCCUAUAGCUCCUUGGUUUCACAUAAAGUUUGCAACUUUACGUGAGGAUUAGGCCUUAGAAGUGUGGAUCUACAGUUUGGAGCCCUUGCAUGGCUCGAAAAGUCACUGUAUGGAUUAAGAACUGAAGCUACUCGACGAGUUACAUGGGUGGACUCAGCGAGUUGUAUGAAGAUAGGCAAGAACUCGACGAGUUGGAAGAACAACUUGGCGAGUCUGUUAGAGAUUGCUUUGGACUCGGCGAGUCUGUUCUCGGACUCGACGAGUUGGAUCUCAGAACCCCAAUCCUUCUAGUUAAGACUUAGAUUGGUGAGUUGAGCGUUGACUCAGUGAGAUGGACAGGAUGGGACUCAGAAAUCAUUGAACUCGAUGAGUCGUCUGGGUGACUUGGCGAGUUGAGGUGUGUUAUGAUAGUUUCAGAGUAUAAGGACUCGACGAGUCAACGGGUUGACUCAGCGAGUAGAGUCAGUCAGGAAGUUUGACUUUGACCAGGACUUUGACUUUGACAAGAGUGGACUUAGUUGACUUCUAGAGUUCAGUUUGGAUCUAAGUGAUAUAUAUAUAUAUAUAUAUAUAUAUAUANNNNNNNNNNNNNNNNNNNNNNNNNNNNAUAUAUAUAUAUUGGUAGCUCGGGGUGCUAGUGGAGCAGCAGUUCAUAGAGUUUUCGGAUAGCAGCCAGAGAGUUAUCAGCAUAGUUCAGCAGUGCAGGUGAGUUUCCUUCCAGUAGGAACGGUUCUACGGCCAUAAUGUCGACCCGUUUAGUUAGUAGUAGUUCUGGACUUCGGUCUGAUGCAGUAGUAGUGUGCUUGAUGUCUUUGUGAUUCAAGCAUGUUUGUGUUAUGUGUUCCGGACCCUGGUCCGAUGCAAUAUGCAGUAUAUGUGUUCAUGCUAGUUGAUAUGUUUAUGCUAUGUUAUGUACAGUUAGUUCCGGACCUCAGUCCGAUGCAGUUAGUUCCGGACUCGGUCCGAUGCAGGGGACAAGAUCCCAGUUAGUUCCGAAUUUCAAUCCGAUGCAGUUUUCGGACUUCGGUCCGAUGCAGAGGGCAAGGCCCUGGUUAGUUCCAAACUUCGGUCCGAUGCAGUUUCCAAACUUCGGUCUGAUGCAGAGGGUAAGGCCAUGGUUAGUUUCCGGACUUCAGUUCGAUGCAGUUUCCGGACUUCGGUCCGAUGCAGUGGGCAAGACCCAAUAUGUGCUUUAUAUGUUAUUGUAUGGUAUGUGGUAGAUUAGGGGAGCUCACUAAGCUUCGUGCUUACAGUUUUCAGUUUUGGUUUCAGGUACUUAGUUUUCAAAAGAGGAGCUCGGGAAGAUUGGAGUGCACACACCAUAGUUAGCCAGCCUGGGAUGUUUACUCUGAUAACAAGAAUAUGUUUUGAAUUAAUACUCUGAACUUAUGUUAUGACUUAUGAUAUGGUUUUUAUAAACAUGGUUUUAGCAAUGUUUUAAAGGAAAUUUUUGGACUGUAUUUUGGGACGUUACAAGUUGGUAUCAGAGCCUUGGUUUGAGGGAUUCGGGCACACUUCGGGUGUGUCUGAACUCAAACUAAGGAAAUGGUAUGAGGUUUUCAAAAGAAAAACACGUUCGAAAGGAAUUUUUAAAAAAGAAACUUAAAAAUAAAGGAGUUUUAGCAUAAGCGAAAAGAAUGUUUAGAAAGAAAUAACUUUGAAAAGGGAAAAGGGUGUGGUGCAUGCAAUCAACCGAGCUCGAGUAAGUACUCCCAAAUUACCCAUACAAGUUUAUAUUAUGAUUAUCUGUUUCAGUUUCAGUAGAACAACAUACUAGAAUAGGACUAAGGAUCUAGGAGGAUGACUUAUGUGGCUGCUAUAUGUGUUUCAGCUUUAUGAGAAUUACAUGCUAGUAUUGGGUAGACAGCAGUAGGAUAGCCUGCUUAGGUUAUGUCUGAUAGUAUGAGCUUAGCAUUGUAUGCUAGUACAGUUUCUCGUUAUAAGGAUAGAAUUGUUUGAGUAGUUUCCUGUGUCUGAAUGCUGCUUGCUUUGUGCUUUGUGGGACUCCGAAUGAUGGGAGUUAGCCAUUAGGUGAAUACGACACAUCACAUGUGAUCAGGGUUGAAUAAUCUCAGAGUGUUAAAUUUGGCCCUAUUGCGCAGCUCUCGUCUGAGUCUAACCGUUGUAGGGACGAGUCUUUUACUCGAAGGAUUAUUUGAGCCUCGUCACAUGUGAUGGUAUUCAGGUGAUGGCUAAUGGACAUUACAAGGAGGCCUUCAGUAGCUGAUGAUUAGUUAGGGUGGAGUCAGAGAUUUUCCCUAGGGCAAGCCUAGGAUGAGAGUAGCAGAGAUCAAUAGCAGUAAAAGGGACUUGGUAGAGUCAAGGCAGUUCUCGAGGAAAGUACGGAUAGUUGUGGAAGGUAGUAUGAGCCUGUACUACUGAAAGCAGAGGAUCUGUACUCGAUUCAAGAGGAGCCAAGACAAAGCCAGGGAACUUGUAGUGUGUAUGUGUAAUCCCUCAGCAGUGAAGUGUAUUUUGAUAGUUAUUGUGAUGUGUUUUCAGCAUGGUGACAUUGCGUGAGAGACCAGUGGGCGGGUCAGGCGCCAGAGAGGGAUCAGGCUCAGGUUUAGGGACCGAGCAGCUCGAGGAGCGUAUGAGAGAGUUUGUAUCAGCAGAGAUUACGCGCAACAUACUAGACCAGACUCAUGUGAUCUUUGGCACAGUCUAGGAGGGUAUACUGGAGAUUUUGGAUGAGAGGCUGGGAGCCUUCCGUAUCGAGAUGAUGGCUUUGAUGGGAGUGCGUACGUUAACAUUUCGAGAUUUUAGAGCUUGUGGAGCACCAGAUUAUCAUGGGGGUAGGGACCCCAUUGCUAGCAGCAGAUGGUUGGCAGAUGUUGGCAACGUUUUCCNNNNNNNNNNNNNNNNNNNNNNNNNNNNNNNNNNNNNNNNNNNNNGGGGGACAAGGUCAGACUCGCCUCUUGUCUUCUGAAGGGCAGAGCGCGGGAUUGGUGGGAGGAGGUUGUUCAUGCCUUGGGGGAUGAUGUCGUGUUGGACGCGAUGCCAUGGAUUGAUUUCUUGGCUAGGUUCAUGAUUGAGUUUGCACCAGCUAUUGAGGUGCAGCAGUUGGCAUGAGAGUUCCAGGAUCUUCAGCAGACCACUAAGACGGUGGUGGAGAUCACCACCAAGUUCAGGAAGAGGGCUCUUUUGAUUUCGCAGUAUGUGGUGGACGAGGAGAUGAAGAAAGCUCGAUAUCAUGAAAUACUGAGAUAUGACAUCAGGCAGUUUGUGAGCAGGUCCAACUGAAAAACGUUGGAGGACAUGAUUGCUCGGGCCAGAGAGAGGGAGAUUGAUCUGGAGCAGAUCAAGAAGAUGAAGCAGGAAGAAACACUCUCUUAUGGGGUUAGGUUUAUAAGAACGACCCAAGGGAUUGGAGGCUGAAAUGAUGAGAUUAAAUGAUCCAUAAAGAUUUUUAAAUACUCCUCAAACCCUAAAAAUUAGGGUUUCACCUGGACAUUAGUAUGCCUAGCAUACAUAUGUGUACGCCUGACGUACUAGGACGCGCCCUAGUAUGGUUAGUGUACUCACAUGUACGCCCAACGUACAACUCCUGCUCUAAAAAUUACCAUUUUGCCACUAGGGCUACAUCUCUAUAAUCCAAGGACCAAAAUGACAUACUUUAAAACCAAAUGAGGGAUUUGAAAAUACCUGAAAACCCGGGAUGUUACAAAAUGAAGAAGAAAAAUGGAACCUGGUGUUGGGUGCGACGGAGAUGUGGCUAUCGAAUGCAUCAGGUCGGUGUCUUUAUAAGGGAGCAACGACGAGCAAGGGAGAGUCGACGUAAGGAGAGAUAGCGAGAGGUGAUGUUGUCAACAAAGGUAUGUGUCUUUACAGUAUAAUAUGGUGCAUUGUAUGAUAGUAUGCAUUUCAUGGUUACAUAAUGAUAAUUGAAUGGAUAUACAUGAUAUUAGGAAAAACAUAUAAAAAAAUGUCUACAUGUUACAAUAGUAUGCGUUUUAUUAGGAAAUUGUAUCGGAUAGUAAUUGAAUCAAUCGAUCAAUACAUUUAAUGCAUUAAUUAUAAUUUUGUUAUAUAAAUCGAAAAAACCAAUUACAUAAAAAACCAGAAAAUUAUAUACGGUAAGAGUGACAUGUGACAAAAUUUAUUUUUCUUUGGGGUUGAUUUUGGCAAAAUUAAGAAAUGGUCUAUAUAAGUUUCUAAAAGGUUACGUUUAAGAAAUUUUACCUAAUGAUCCUUUUUUAUUUUAAAAUCUUGCAUAGUUAUUCCUUUUAAUUAUGUACCACUUUUAAAAAUUAACCGUUAAUUACAUGUUAAAAAACAUUCUACUCCUCCUCCUCUCAUGCCCCGCGCGUCCACUUUUUUUUAUCCACCUCUUGCACCUUUUUUUUGCUAAAAAGAAAGUCUUUUAGUCUAAAAUUUCUUUUAACUUUGAUUCUAUCCAAAUAAAAUGACUAACUUUUCUUUUUAAUAUCCUUUUUACAAUUUUCUUUUAUUACGAUUUAGUUUUAGCAAAAUUAAAGAAAUGGCUUAUGGUUCCAGCAAAGUCAUGUUUACGAAAUUUUAAGAUAAUGGUAUGUUAAUUAUGUGUUAAAAAACAUUUCUACCCACCCCACCGCAUGCACUUUUUUUUUCUUCUUAUGUGACCCUUUUGCUAACACCAUAUUUUCUUCCUCCUAAGUCCUUUCCCACCUCCCACAACUCAGAAAUGGUUUGAUUUCUUUUUUGAAUCAACGCAAUUCGUAUAUUUUCAAUUUUUAAAAUAUAAACGUAAAACAAUGUCUCUUCUUGUUUGCAAAGUUAUAUAUGUAUAUAUAUAACCAGAAAAGUACAAAAUAAAAAAUAAAAUAAACCGGUUCAAUUCUGAUAAAAACUUCAGUCAAAUUCUCAAAAAAGCUACAAAAUCAUAUAUUUAGAAAAAAGUUCAUCUAUGCAACAAUCUUGAACUGCAAAAAUGGAAUAUGCUAAGAGUAAUAUACAAUAGCAUGAGGUUAUAGACAGAAAGUCUCAACAAAAAGUCAAGGUAACGAAAGUUACAAUACCGAAAGUCAAAACCAGAAGCCUCCACCCUCGACCGUUCUACCAAAUUCUCGAAACCCUAAAGCUUCAUUAGUGUAAUAAGCCGCAAAACAUGAGAUUGAAGAAUCGUCUCUAGGAGACACUAACAAAAUCUAAUAAAAGAAUUACACAAAUUUUGUUUAAAGAAUAAGACUAAUGUAAGGGGUUGAGGGGGUGAAAGAAAUGUUUUUUGGGUUUGUUUGAUGAAUUGCAAUCUUGAAUGCUUCAAAGAACUCCAUUAUAAACUCAAACCCCACCUCCAUUAGUUUCAUCCAUAUUGCCAUUUUCCCAGCCAUCUCUUUGUUUUUGUUUGUAUAUAUGUUGUAUAAAACAUGCAUGUGUAUAUAUAGUGUGUGUAUAAAUGAAGAAAGUGAAAGGAACGAAGUAGGUUUUAUAUGCCUAUUGGAACCUUGAAGGGGCAUACAAAAU